GCGUCGGCACAGUGUGUGAUACAACAGUGCUUUGAAAACUGCGUCGGAGCCUCGGUACCAUCCGUCCCAUCACUAGAUAACGGUAAAUCAGCGUCUUUUCCGUUGUGUCUACUGCAGGAUGGAUAUAAAAGUAUAAAAUACGUUUUGGUUUGACAACAUCAUUCAUAUGUGAACUAUCACAAAGAAAUAACAAGUGUGAGAAAAGAGAAGUUCAUCAGGCGAGUUGGAGCGUUGGCUUUGUCGAGUCAUACAGUUUAGCGGAGCUAAGACCUGUGGGAGUGCUGGAGAAAUCAAGUGUACCAAGUACUCUGUCUCCUCAGCCAUGCAAGAGAUCUUCAGACAUGACGAGAUUGAGGAGUUAA
This 362-nucleotide long non-coding RNA is filed under the name Sinocyclocheilus grahami. Its description in RNAcentral is "lncRNA (ENSSGRG00000009662.1)". The record is from RNAcentral. Lineage: Eukaryota; Metazoa; Chordata; Actinopteri; Cypriniformes; Cyprinidae.